UACGUAGGGGGCAAGCGUUGUCCGGAUUUAUUGGGCGUAAAGAGCGUGUAGGCGGCCAGACAGGUCCGUUGUGAAAACUCGAGGCUCAACCUCGAGACGCCGAUGGAAACCGUCUGGCUAGAGUCCGGAAGAGGAGAGUGGAAUUCCCGGUGUAGCGGUGAAAUGCGCAGAUAUCGGGAAGAACACCCGUGGCGAAGGCGGUUCUCUGGGACGGUACUGACGCUGAGACGCGAAAGCGUGGGGAGCGAACAGG
Molecule: ribosomal RNA, 253 nt
Filed under: uncultured bacterium
Lineage: Bacteria
Description: partial 16S ribosomal RNA
Rfam family: Bacterial small subunit ribosomal RNA
Source: RNAcentral